UAAGAGUUAGUUUAAAUAAAGAAUUGUUGACUGUUAAUCAAAAGGUAUAUCUCUUAA
This 57-nucleotide transfer RNA is filed under the name Litoditis aff. marina PmI. Its description in RNAcentral is "tRNA-Asn". The record is from RNAcentral. Lineage: Eukaryota; Metazoa; Nematoda; Chromadorea; Rhabditida; Rhabditidae.